RNAcentral lists this ribosomal RNA (520 nucleotides) under uncultured Entrophospora. RNAcentral describes it as "SSU rRNA". It matches the Rfam family "Eukaryotic small subunit ribosomal RNA", at positions 569 to 1084 of the family's 1831-position model. The record is from RNAcentral. Lineage: Eukaryota; Fungi; Glomeromycota; Glomeromycetes; Entrophosporales; Entrophosporaceae.
AGCAGCCGCGGUAAUUCCAGCUCCAAUAGCGUAUAUUAAAGUUGUUGCAGUUAAAAAGCUCGUAGUUGAAUUUCGGGAUUGGCGCAUUGGUCGUGCCUUACGGGGUAUGAACUGGUGCAGUCAAUUUCUCACCUUCUGGAGAACCGCGAUGUCCUUAAUUGGGUGCCGCGGGGAACCAGGACCUUUACUUUGAAAAAAUUAGAGUGUUUAAAGCAGGCAUUUUUGCUUGAAUACAUUAGCAUGGAAUAAUAAAAUAGGACGGCAUGGUUCUAUUUUGUUGGUUUCUAGGACCACCGUAAUGAUUAAUAGGGAUAGUUGGGGGCAUUAGUAUUCAAUUGUCAGAGGUGAAAUUCUUGGAUUUAUUGAAGACUAACUACUGCGAAAGCAUUUGCCAAGGAUGUUUUCAUUAAUCAAGAACGAAAGUUAGGGGAUCGAAGACGAUCAGAUACCGUCGUAGUCUUAACCAUAAACUAUGCCGACUAGGAAUCAGACGAUGUUAAUUUUUAAUGACUCGUUUGGC